UGGGUGAGAAUCUUGGAAUGGAUUGGAGGGAAAAGAACCCAAGAUGCUGCUUGCUAAUAAGUUCAAUUAUAUCCCAUUUUUGUACCCAGCUAUGUGAUUGCUUAAAAACUUUUUAGUUUAAAAUUCUAAUGGCUGUGAAACAUGCCAGACUGACAACGAUGGAGACUGAAGCUCAGUAUUUAUUCAUUGAACAAGUACAGAUAGAAGUAGUGCAUACCAUCCUGCCCACAGGAGCGGUGCCAGGGUUUUUGCUGCCCUAGGCGGUUGCGCCCCUGCUCAGAGCAUUCGGCGACGGGGGUCCUUCCGCUCCACGUCUUCGGGGUGCUUCGGCGGUGGGUCCCGAAGCGAGUGAAGGACCCGCCGCCGAAUUGCCGCCGGGGAUGGCAAAAUGCCACCCCCCAAAUCCUGCCACCCUAGGCAACCGCCUAGGGUCGCCUAAUGGAAGUGCCAGUCCUGCCUGCCCACUCCCUGGUUCAUUGAUACAUUAUUUCUUAGCAUAAGCUCAGGGAACACAGUUAGAUUUGAAGCUGUACAAAUAAGAAAUCUGCUUAGUUGGAAUCCAAGAAUGAAAUUAAAAUAUCUGUGGGACUCUUCCUUAGUUUUUCUUUUGUACUUAUAAUCAUAUUUAAUUAUGUUUCUUUUUAUCCUUUAAUCUUCCCCUUUAUCCUUUUGAUUUUACAUCACUAGAAUGAACUCAUUCUCAAUAGAUUAAGAAUCUAAAGAAAGAAUGUGAAAUACAGAUUUUUCAUUGCUAGGUUAUUAUUGAAUAAGAUAAAAGUCUAAAAAUAUAUGGAGUACAUUUUUAAAAAGCUAAUGAAACUCUUGAUAGUAAAAAUGUUACAAUAGAAUAAAAGUCCAGCUCUGUGCUUCUAGAAUCCAGGCAUUGCAACCUCUCCCAUGAAUAAUGUUAGCAGCCACUGAACCUGAGUUAUGCGACAGGAAAGAUGGAAUCCAGAGAUGCCCUUCAAGUGACGACUACAAUCAGUGUCACAAACCUAGCAACUGCAAUUUCCACUUCAAAAAUAAAAAAAUCUAAGUUCCAGACAAGGAAAAAAAAGACUUUGGACUAGCUCCUCAGCUGCUACAAGUAAAUAUAGCUUCAUAAUCACCAAUACCACAUCUGAGCCAAUUUACUUGAGCCGAAUCUGAACUGCUUAGAAAUUCCAUUGUCAGAUUUGUUCACAUCAUUUGUUUUUGCUUUUUCUUCCACCUUUGCUUCUGACUCAGUAUAGUAAUUAUAAUUAUUUUACAAUACUUGAAAGUCCUCAAU
Molecule: long non-coding RNA, 1270 nt
Organism: Chrysemys picta bellii (western painted turtle)
Lineage: Eukaryota; Metazoa; Chordata; Testudines; Emydidae
Source: Ensembl